This 701-nucleotide ribosomal RNA is filed under the name Pantoea sp. RNAcentral's name for it is "bacterial SSU rRNA". It matches the Rfam family "Bacterial small subunit ribosomal RNA", at positions 81 to 778 of the family's 1533-position model. Lineage: Bacteria; Pseudomonadati; Pseudomonadota; Gammaproteobacteria; Enterobacterales; Erwiniaceae. The record is from RNAcentral.
CUCUCGGGUGACGAGUGGCGGACGGGUGAGUAAUGUCUGGGGAUCUGCCCGAUAGAGGGGGAUAACCACUGGAAACGGUGGCUAAUACCGCAUAACGUCGCAAGACCAAAGAGGGGGACCUUCGGGCCUCUCACUAUCGGAUGAACCCAGAUGGGAUUAGCUAGUAGGCGGGGUAACGGCCCACCUAGGCGACGAUCCCUAGCUGGUCUGAGAGGAUGACCAGCCACACUGGAACUGAGACACGGUCCAGACUCCUACGGGAGGCAGCAGUGGGGAAUAUUGCACAAUGGGCGCAAGCCUGAUGCAGCCAUGCCGCGUGUAUGAAGAAGGCCUUCGGGUUGUAAAGUACUUUCAGCGGGGAGGAAGGCAUUGUGGUUAAUAACCGCAGUGAUUGACGUUACCCGCAGAAGAAGCACCGGCUAACUCCGUGCCAGCAGCCGCGGUAAUACGGAGGGUGCAAGCGUUAAUCGGAAUUACUGGGCGUAAAGCGCACGCAGGCGGUCUGUUAAGUCAGAUGUGAAAUCCCCGGGCUUAACCUGGGAACUGCAUUUGAAACUGGCAGGCUUGAGUCUCGUAGAGGGGGGUAGAAUUCCAGGUGUAGCGGUGAAAUGCGUAGAGAUCUGGAGGAAUACCGGUGGCGAAGGCGGCCCCCUGGACGAAGACUGACGCUCAGGUGCGAAAGCGUGGGGAGCAAACAGGAU